CCCCUAGAUGUUCUGGGCCGCACGCGCGCUACACUGAACAGUUCAACAAGUCUUAACCUUGGCCGAUAGGUCUGGGUAAUCUUUGAACGCUGUUCGUGACUGGGAUGGACCUUUGCAAUUAUGGGUCUUCAACGAGGAAUUCCUAGUAAACGCAAGUCAUCAGCUUGCAUUGAUUACGUCCCUGCCCUUUGUACACACCGCCCGUCGCACCUACCGAUUGAAUGGUCCGGUGAAAUCUCGGGACGGCGGCUUGGUCGCUUGCGUCCGACUGCUGAAACUUGAUUAAACCAUAUCAUUUAGAGGAAGGUGAANUCGUAACA
Molecule: ribosomal RNA, 320 nt
Filed under: uncultured eukaryote
Lineage: Eukaryota
Description: partial 18S ribosomal RNA
Rfam family: Eukaryotic small subunit ribosomal RNA
Source: RNAcentral